RNAcentral lists this ribosomal RNA (492 nucleotides) under uncultured bacterium. RNAcentral describes it as "partial 16S ribosomal RNA". It matches the Rfam family "Bacterial small subunit ribosomal RNA", at positions 29 to 507 of the family's 1533-position model. The record is from RNAcentral.
AGUGAACGCUGGCGGUAGGCCUAACACGUGCAAGUCGAACGGCAGCACAGUAAGAGCUUGCUCUUACGGGUGGCGAGUGGCGGACGGGUGAGGAAUACAUCGGAAUCUACUUUUUCGUGGGGGAUAACGUAGGGAAACUUACGCUAAUACCGCAUACGACCUACGGGUGAAAGCAGGGGAUCUUCGGACCUUGCGCGAUUGGAUGAGCCGAUGUCGGAUUAGCUAGUUGGCGGGGUAAAGGCCCACCAAGGCGACGAUCCGUAGCUGGUCUGAGAGGAUGAUCAGCCACACUGGAACUGAGACACGGUCCAGACUCCUACGGGAGGCAGCAGUGGGGAAUAUUGGACAAUGGGCGCAAGCCUGAUCCAGCCAUACCGCGUGGGUGAAGAAGGCCUUCGGGUUGUAAAGCCCUUUUGUUGGGAAAGAAAAGCAGCAGGUUAAUACCCCGCUGUUCUGACGGUACCCAAAGAAUAAGCACCGGCUAACUUCGUG